AAAAACAGAGGUCCUUUUAAAGGCAACUAACACAGUGACCCCUUAUGUUGUUUAAUAACCUGAGGGCUCAAAUCUUUAGGUUUAAGUCAAAUACACUAUUAACAGCACCAAAAUGCAGGAGAUAAGCUGAACAAAUAUAAUUUUUAGCUCUUUGCAUGACAGCCUCAUAAAUGAUAAAAGUUUUUUUUUUUGGUUUUGUUUUUAUUUCUUGAAAAUAUUUUGUUUUGAAUUCUUAUUUUAAUCCCAAGGAUUUGCAGCAAAAUCGAUGCUCACAAUUUAGUCAGCUGUUACCCCGAAGGGACCUUAGGUAAGCCUCUAAUUGGCUGGUGCCCUCAUUAGCAAACUGGGACAGGAAGGGCCCAAGAACACAGCAGAGUUUUUCCAAAGGCUACUCUGGUCCUGGGUUGUCUCUACAGGCCUGAAAUAAGACAAUUCUGCCCCUGCCUCUACAAAGGACUAAAGAUGGGUGUUCUGGGAACUUUUCUAUUAUUCUCAGAAUCUCUUUAGAAGCUAUUGUCUCUCACCGGGAGCUGCUUGGGCAAGAUUUCCACUUCAGGGUCUGAGGAUAAAAUACAAAACCCAACAAGGAGUUUAUCAUUAACCGAAGCCCCAAGUUACAGGAUACUGUGCACGAGUCUCGGCCCCAUGAACCUGCCGCAGACGUCCGCCCAGGAAGAGCACACCAUUUUCUUUGUCAAGUUUCACAGGGUUCCGACAAGUAGCAGCUGGUGUGGCAGCGGCAGGUUGAGCGUCGAGAGCAGUGGGGUGAGAGCCUGUGGAAGGGUCGCCAUGGGGAAGCUGGCAGCACACCUUUCCCAGCGACAGCCCUGGAAGGCCCUCCUCAGCUCCCAGGAGACAGCUCAGGAGCGCUAAGAAGGCUGCCGUAGAUAAAAGUCCCUCGCCAGGGGAACACCAUUCCAGAAAGCUGCAUGCUGAACGAAGUAUGACGGUUGUCUGGAGGAAAAGCAGUUAUGUAAUUGAGCUGUAAGCUAAACCGACGGCUUUUUUUACGAAACGCCAUUUUUACUCGAAGGAACAAAUAAUACUCAAACUAUGGUUAUUUGGGGCUUCAAGAAAAACAACUGAUAUUAUUUAUUGCCUAUGAUAAAAUUUGAGCUUUCACAAAACUGAGAAUUUUGGAAACCUUGUAUCCGACACAUGAAGCCAAGAGGAUCUUUCCUUUGUCCCUGGUGUUCUGAGAUUUUAUGAUGAUAUGGUCUGGAGAUGAUGUGUAUCCACCAUGGUGCUGGGCACUGGGUUCUUUCAAUCUGGAAAGUCAAAUCCUGCAGGAAAGGGGCAUUUUGUUGAGUUAUUUUGUUGAUCAUUUCUUCUCCCUUUUUUGAUUGUUCUCAAUUUCUGGAAUAUUCAUUGAAAAAAUACUGGAUAUCCUGGACUAGUCCUCUAAUUUUCUUAUUUGUUCUAUCUCUUUCUGGGACAACUCCUCAACUCUAUCUGCCAACCAGAAUUUUGAGUUGCCUUUAUUUCUUCUAUCAUGUUUUAAAUUUCCAUGAGCUCUUUCUCCCUGCUCCUGUUUCUUGUUUUAAAGUAUCUAGAUCUUAUAAUUUCUUUAAAAAAUUCUCUAGAGAUAUAAAUGAUAAUUUCUUUUCCCUGUACAGUCUGUUUUGUCCUAGUUGCUUUUUUCUGUUUGUUUGCUUUGGUUUUUCUAUUUCAUGGUAGUGGCUUUAGUUUUAGUUGUCUCUCUCUCUCUCUCUUUUAAGUAAGCUGUAUGCCCAGAGUGAAGCUUGAACACAUGACCCCAAGAUACAGAGUCGCACGCUCCACUGACUCAGCCAGCCAGGUGCCCCUUGGAUGUCUCUUCAUACGUGGAAGUGAAAUCCUGAAAUGCUGAUUUUUAGUGAAAUCCUAAACAGCUCUGCUCGCGUUGAAGGAACUUGCUGCCUCUAAGAUUCUGUACAGGGAGAGGAGCUGGGCUGUUGGUUGGGGAGUGCCUGAGGCGAUGAUCCUUAACUCUUCACACUCUGAUUCCUCAAGCAAAGUUUCUCAUCUCCGGACUCAAGAGUAUAAGCCUUGGUGACCAGAAUUCUGCAUUUAGCUGGAAAAGAAAGCUGGGACUUUUAACAUUUAGGAGGCUAGCACUCAAUCAACCUCUCCCAAACGACCAUUACCAUUAAGUGUGUUUGGUGUCCUCCUGUUCAGACAUCCUUAACUUCAUCCUGUCCAGAGAAUAAAUUUCUGUUCUUCUUCCAAGUUACGGGAGGGGCAAUCUUUCUAAAUGAACUGUCAACCAAUACGGUUAGUUUCCUCUUCACCCACCUCUCUUCCACUUUGUGCAGUUACCUGGUGCCAUCAAUUUCUGAAUUUCUUUAGGGUGCGGCUAUGCAAAAUUGAGUUGUUUCUUGGCCUUCUCGAUUGUUGGCUCAGGAUUCAGCUUUCUCAGGACUGCUAAGUCAGUGACCACUCAUCCAUCUGCUUCCCAGUUCCAAAAUUUUGUUGCUGUUGUCUGCUCUCCCAUUCUCUUUGUCCUUGUGGGUUUAUGCCUUUAAAAAAAAAUCUCUUCGCUGUUGUUUUAGUGAGGUUUUGGGAGGGAAUGAAAGUAAAUGUGGGUAUUUGAUUCUCCAUCUUUAUUUGGAGCCUCUUUGUAAUUAAAUAUCUUCUUUUUACUUCCAUUGAAUAUUACAGCAUAAACAUUUCCUAUGCUCUUACAUGGUCCCUGCAACAGCUCUAGUAACUGCAUAACAUCCCACUGAAUCGGUGCUGUAUGUUACUUAAUCAUUACCUUAUUUUUGGAUGUUUAGGGUUGCUUCUGUCUGUGGGGAGAAGACUAGUUUUUCUUAGGGUUAUCUUCCAUUUAGCUGUCUCAUUUAUCCCCCACCUUUAGGGAGUGCCUGCUGACAUUCUUCUCCUUUCUGUGCUUGGUCUGUAGUUUCAUCACCUUGGGCCCUGAUUAUGGCAUUGCUCUGUGCCAGUUUAAUUCAUCUUCCAACUAGCAGGUCACCUGCACAAAGAUGUGGCACUAAUCUUUCCAAAAUGUCACCUUUCUCAUGACCCUUCAGAGGAACCCUAACAACCCAGAAUUCAUUUGCGACUGUCAUCUGAGGGUCCCCACAGGUUGACUCCGUGCCACCUUCCCAAGCUCUCAACCCUUUCCCCGCAGUGUCCUCCUUCAAACAGGGCCCGUCCUCCUAACUGUAGCCCCUUCUGCCCCUUCUGCCGCUGCCGGUCCACAUUCGGCUUUACAUCUCAGCUCCUGCACUAAGCCUCCCCAGUGACUUUGUUUACAUAAUUCCUUCUUCCGUUUGAUAAAAGAUAAGAAAGAAACAACCUAUUUCCAACUGCUCACGGUCAGUCUGGCCUUCUAAAUGGACUGACAGCUCUUCAGAGGCAGGGGGCUCUCCUCUGUUCUCUAUGGCGACCGCCCGUACAGUGGCCUUCUACCACCGUGGGACUCCAGCUCGGCACCAGGCACAAAGGGGGCGAUUAACAGGGACUCACUGAAGGAACUGCUCACGCGUGUAAGCUGUUACCUUGCCCUCUGGGGUGAGUGUCCAGAUCACAGAGAAGGUCAGCUUGUCUGUCAUGGGGUGGAGGCUGCACAGCUCCUCACACAGCAGCCUGGGAAGCAUGGGGACAACCUGCAAGCAAAGAACAGGCCCAUGAGCACAUUGCUCUUUCAUCUGCAGGAGUUGACCAGACUUGGGAGCCACCCAGAGGACAGAGUUGUUGUUGUUUUUUAAUUUUUAACGUUUAUUUAUAUUUGAGAGAGAGAGAGAGAGAGAGAGAGAGAGAGAGAGAAGGGCAGAGAGA
This is a long non-coding RNA of Felis catus (domestic cat), 3765 nucleotides long. RefSeq lists it as uncharacterized. NCBI's taxonomy places the organism in Eukaryota, Metazoa, Chordata, Mammalia, Carnivora, Felidae. The transcript has 3 exons. The record is from RefSeq and is a predicted model, not a curated record.